CGCCCAUCAGCUAGCCCCUCCAACCAAAAAUAACAAACCACUAUCAAUAACCCCAAAUACACUAACUUACAUUAAACAAACCAUUUUUCCCCCCUAGUAUGGGCGACAGAAAAGGGUCUUGAGGAGCGAUAGAGAAAGUACCGCAAGGGAACGCUGAAAGAGAAAUGAAACAACCCAGUAAAGCCUAGAAAAGCAGAGAUUUUAGCUCGUACCUUUUGCAUCAUGAUUUAGCCAGUAAAGACCAAGCAAAGAGUACUUUAGUUUGACUC
This 269-nucleotide ribosomal RNA is filed under the name Malakichthys barbatus. RNAcentral's name for it is "partial 16S ribosomal RNA". Lineage: Eukaryota; Metazoa; Chordata; Actinopteri; Acropomatiformes; Malakichthyidae. The record is from RNAcentral.